Molecule: ribosomal RNA, 468 nt
Filed under: uncultured bacterium
Lineage: Bacteria
Description: partial 16S ribosomal RNA
Rfam family: Bacterial small subunit ribosomal RNA
Source: RNAcentral
GACGAACGCUGGCGGCGUGCUUAACACAUGCAAGUCGAACGGAAAGGCCCUGCUUUUGUGGGGUGCUCGAGUGGCGAACGGGUGAGUAACACGUGAGUAACCUGCCCUUGACUUUGGGAUAACUUCAGGAAACUGGGGCUAAUACCGGAUAGGAGCUCCUGCUGCAUGGUGGGGGUUGGAAAGUUUCGGCGGUUGGGGAUGGACUCGCGGCUUAUCAGCUUGUUGGUGGGGUAGUGGCUUACCAAGGCUUUGACGGGUAGCCGGCCUGAGAGGGUGACCGGCCACAUUGGGACUGAGAUACGGCCCAGACUCCUACGGGAGGCAGCAGUGGGGAAUAUUGCACAAUGGGCGGAAGCCUGAUGCAGCAACGCCGCGUGCGGGAUGACGGCCUUCGGGCUGUAGACCGCUUUCGCCUGUGACGAAGCGUGAGUGACGGUAAUGGGUAAAGAAGCACCGGCUAACUACGUG